AUAUUCUGCCCCACGGGAAAGGAUGAGAAGCUUCGACUAAGGUUCGACUCGAGCGAAGCGAGAGAACGUUGCCGCAGGCAACGGUCCGAAGGGCGAGGCGCUUUAGCGCCGAGUUAUCCUUCCCCCACCACCA
Molecule: small RNA, 133 nt
Filed under: Klebsiella quasipneumoniae subsp. similipneumoniae
Lineage: Bacteria; Pseudomonadati; Pseudomonadota; Gammaproteobacteria; Enterobacterales; Enterobacteriaceae
Also listed under: 8 other names
Description: RtT sRNA
Rfam family: RtT RNA
About the family: This family represents a bacterial cis-regulatory element known as RtT RNA.
Source: RNAcentral